GAAAUGCGAUAAGUAAUUUGAAUUGCAGAAUUCAGUGAAUCAUCGAAUCUUUGAACGCACAUUGCGCCCGCCAGCACUCUGGCGGGCAUGCCUGUUCGAGCGUCAUUUCAACCCUCAGAACCCCUUGCGGGAUCUGGCGUUGGGGAUUGGCAUCCAGCCAGCCCCGAAAUCUAGUGGCGGUCCCUCCGCGACCUCCCCUGUGCAGUAGCGAUACCUCGCAGCGGGACAGCGGUCUGACCACGCCGUAAAACCCCCAACUUCUCAAGGUUGACCUCGAAUCAGGUAGGAAUACCCGCUGAACUUAAGC
Molecule: unclassified non-coding RNA, 307 nt
Filed under: plant metagenome
Description: partial contains 5.8S ribosomal RNA, internal transcribed spacer 2, and large subunit ribosomal RNA
Rfam family: 5.8S ribosomal RNA (bases 1-105)
Source: RNAcentral